GUGAUUAAAUCGAGCGUGUCUUCAUUGACCGCUCCCCUUCUCACCAUCCACAUACACCUGUGUACUGUUUAGCCUGAGCCGGUUUUCCGGUCCAGGUUAUCAUUUCAUACAAACUCUAGUCUUAUGAAUGUAAACGUUUUAAUAACAUAAUA
This 152-nucleotide unclassified non-coding RNA is filed under the name soil metagenome. Its description in RNAcentral is "partial internal transcribed spacer 1". The record is from RNAcentral.